GACGAACGCUGGCGGCGUGCUUAACACAUGCAAGUCGAGCGGUAAGGCCCUUUCGGGGGUACACGAGCGGCGAACGGGUGAGUAACACGUGGGUGACCUGCCCUCAGCUCUGGGAUAAGCCUGGGAAACCGGGUCUAAUACCGGAUAUGACUCCAUGACGCAUGUUGUGGGGUGGAAAGCCUUGUGCGGCUGAGGAUGGGCCCGCGGCCUA
This 211-nucleotide ribosomal RNA is filed under the name uncultured bacterium. RNAcentral's name for it is "partial 16S ribosomal RNA". It matches the Rfam family "Bacterial small subunit ribosomal RNA", at positions 28 to 240 of the family's 1533-position model. The record is from RNAcentral.